UAACUGGAGAGUUUGAUUCUGGCUCAGAACGAACGCUGGCGGCGUGCCUAACACAUGCAAGUCGCGCGAGAUAGUCCCCGCAAGGGGAUGUGUAAAGCGGCGAACGGGUGAGUAGCACAUGGGUAAUUUACCCUUCUGAUCGGGACAACCCCGCGAAAGCGGAGCUAAUACCGGAUAUGACCACGAGGACGAAAGUUCUUGAGGUAAAAGAUGGCCUCUGCUUGCAAGCUAUCACAGAAGGAUGAGCCCGUGGCCCAUCAGCUAGUUGGUAGGGUAAUGGCCUACCAAGGCAAUGACGGGUAGCUGGUCUGAGAGGACGAUCAGCCACACUGGAACUGAGACACGGUCCAGACUCCUACGGGAGGCAGCAGUGGGGAAUAUUGCGCAAUGGGGGAAACCCUGACGCAGCAACGCCGCGUGAGUGAUGAAGGCCUUCGGGUCGUAAAGCUCUGUCUAGGGGGAAGAAUGUCCAGGAUUCUAACAGGAUCUUGGAGUGACGGUACCCCUGGAGGAAGCACCGGCUAACUCCGUGCCAGCAGCCGCGGUAAAACGGAGGGUGCAAGCGUUGUUCGGAAUUACUGGGCGUAAAGCGCGGGCAGGCGGUCUUUUAAGUCCUUUGUGAAAUCCCGGGGCUCAACUCCGGAUGUGCAUAGGAUACUGGAGGACUGGAGACUGGUAGAGGCGAGUGGAAUUCCUGGUGUAGCGGUGGAAUGCGUAGAGAUCAGGAAGAACACCGGUGGCGAAGGCGGCUCGCUGGGCCAUUGCUGACGCUGAGGCGCGAAAGCGUGGGGAGCAAACAGGAUUAGAUACCCUGGUAGUCCACGCUGUAAACGAU
RNAcentral lists this ribosomal RNA (835 nucleotides) under Deltaproteobacteria bacterium. RNAcentral describes it as "bacterial SSU rRNA". It matches the Rfam family "Bacterial small subunit ribosomal RNA", at positions 1 to 810 of the family's 1533-position model. Lineage: Bacteria; Pseudomonadati; Myxococcota; Myxococcia. The record is from RNAcentral.